UCUACGGGAGGCAGCAGUGGGGAAUAUUGCGCAAUGGGCGAAAGCCUGACGCAGCGACGCCGCGUGAGGGAUGAAGGUCUUCGGAUCGUAAACCUCUGUCAGCAGGGAAGAACGGUCACUGUGCUAAUCAGCAGUGAAUUGACGGUACCUGCAAAGGAAGCACCGGCUAACUCCGUGCCAGCAGCCGCGGUAAUACGGAGGGUGCGAGCGUUAAUCGGAAUUACUGGGCGUAAAGCGCUCGUAGGCGGUAUGUCAAGUCAAGGGUGAAAUCCCCGCGCUCAACGUGGGAACUGCCUUUGAAACUGGCAAACUGGAGUGUGUGAGAGGAUAGUGGAAUUCCAGGUGUAGGAGUGAAAUCCGUAGAGAUCUGGAGGAACAUCAGUGGCGAAGGCGACUAUCUGGCACAUAACUGACGCUGAGGAGCGAAAGCGUGGGUAGCAAACAGGAUUAGAUACCCGAGUAGUC
This 465-nucleotide ribosomal RNA is filed under the name uncultured bacterium. RNAcentral's name for it is "partial 16S ribosomal RNA". It matches the Rfam family "Bacterial small subunit ribosomal RNA", at positions 338 to 795 of the family's 1533-position model. The record is from RNAcentral.